Molecule: RNA transcript, 1792 nt
Organism: Poecile atricapillus (Black-capped chickadee)
Lineage: Eukaryota; Metazoa; Chordata; Aves; Passeriformes; Paridae
Gene: DNAJC17
Gene name: DnaJ heat shock protein family (Hsp40) member C17
Exons: 13
Source: RefSeq, a predicted model, not a curated record
GCGUGUGAGAACUACAUUUCCCAGCGACCGCGGCGCCAGGAGCGGAACCGGGAAGCGCGAAGAUGGCGGUGGAUAAGGAGCUGCUGGAGCGGGACCUCUACGGGCUGCUGGGGGUCGGCGAGAAGGCGUCCGAGAAAGAGGUGAAGACAGCGUUCCGGCAGAAGGCCCUGACCUGUCACCCGGACAAGAACCCGGACAACCCCCGGGCAGCGGAAAUCUUCCACCAGCUGUCCCAGGCCUUGGCCGUGCUCACAGAUGCAGCAGCCAGGGCAGCCUAUGACAGGGUGAGGAGGGCGAAGAAGGAGGCUGCAGCAAGGACACAGAAACUCGAUGAGAAGAGGAAGAAAGUAAAGCUUGAUCUUGAAGCCAGAGAACGAGAAGCCCAGUCCCAGGAGAAUGAAGAGGAGGAGAUCAGGAUAACGAGAUCAUUAGAAGAAGAAAUAAUCCGCCUGCGUGAGGAGGGCUCCCGGCAGCUGGAGGAGCAGCAGAGGCUCGUCAGGGAGCAGAUCCGCCUGGAAAGGGAGCAGCACAGCCGAGGCAAGCAGGAAAGAAAUGGAGCAGAAGGCAAAAUAACUCCUAAGCUCAAGCUCAGGUGGAAAUGCAGGAAGGAAGAUGAGACAGGAGGGGGAUACUCCAAAGAUGUGCUGCUGCAGAUCCUGCAAAAGUAUGGUGAUGUGCUCAAUUUGUUGAUCUCCAGCAGGAAGACUGGGAGUGCAGUGGUGGAAUUUGCCACGGUGAAGGCAGCUGAGAUGGCUGUGAAGAAUGAAGUGGGCCUGCUAAAUAACCCCCUGAAGAUUUCCUGGCUGGAGGGCGAGCCCCAGAGCCGCCCCAGCACCGUCCUCCCUGACAGCACCAGCCAUUCCAGGACCUCACAGGAGGAUAAAUCCACUGCUGGUGCUGUAUCAGGAGCCUACUUGGAUGCUUACCUGCUUCCAGGCUGGGAAUGCCACCUGCACUGGAGUUGAGGGAAAAGAAACCCACAAGGAGGAAGAGAAAAAACGGAGGAACAGCUUUGAGCUUUCACAUCCAAACGUGGUGGGAGGAGAAGCCCCAGUUCCUGUCUCUCAGCCCUCAAAGCUUUGGCUUUGGGGUGCAAUGCUGCUGCCUCCUUGCAGGCUGCCUGCUGCUCCACAAAUGAUCCAUGACAAAUCCCUGUGUGUCUCUGUCCCACAGUGUCACAUCCCCAAAAUAAGUCCCAAAAAAUGCCAGUCUUCCCUGAGGAGGGGAUGUGCAGUCCGGAGUGGGAAAUUCCCGGGGUGGAGAGUGGAAAGUUGCCCAUGAGACAGAAGACUGUGCUCUCACCUGAACACGGAGCCCAUGAGCUCUGCUCCAGAGGAAUCCUUGGCAAGGACAGGGAUGGUCUGUGGUGGGCGAGGUGAGGACAACAAAACAGGCCACACACAACAGCACAUCCUCGAGGAGUGAUAGCCCCAGAUCCACUUUGAAGGACAGGAAGGGGUCAGCCAGGUCGGGAAGAGUGGUGCUGUUUGGGAGACCUGCCUCUGAAGUGCCAUGGUCUGUAGCCUGGUCCUUGUGCGUUGGAGUGGCUUUGUGGUACGGAGCAGCGUCGGAAAAGGAGAGGCGUCAGUGGUGUCGGAACGGGACUACGAGAGCCUGGUGAUGAUGAGGAUGCGCCAGGCAGCCGAGAGGCAGCAGCUCAUCGAGCAGCUCCAGCGGGAAGAUGAGGAGGAAAAGUCUCACACUUAGCAUGAGAGUAUGGAUUCUCCCCACCCCUCCGUCCCCCCCAGAGCUGUUUCUUAAUUUAAGUCAAUAAACCUCCUUUCUUUUUAAA